CCUUGCAAUUUCUCUUCUAGUGGCCCUCCUUGCCAUAGUGAUAGCAAGUACCUUUGGCAGAGACCUUCUUCGUCUUCUUCUUGGAGAUGCCAACCUUAGCCCUUCUUGCCUUUCUUCUUGUUGAUCUUAUCGAUAAGAAGUAUCGGAGCCUUUUCAUCCUUGAAAUAGCUCUCUGCUGUCUUCAACAUGUUCAGCAUCUCAGCCAGGCUAGUGUUCAGUUUGUUCGUGUAGUAAUUUAUAACAAACUGAGAGAAGG
RNAcentral lists this long non-coding RNA (256 nucleotides) under Elaeis guineensis (African oil palm). Its description in RNAcentral is "long non-coding RNA (EGUI_LNC078161)". The record is from RNAcentral. Lineage: Eukaryota; Viridiplantae; Streptophyta; Magnoliopsida; Arecales; Arecaceae.